This 29-nucleotide non-coding RNA is filed under the name Mus musculus (house mouse). Lineage: Eukaryota; Metazoa; Chordata; Mammalia; Rodentia; Muridae. The record is from RNAcentral.
UACCUUUGUAAAGGAUAAGAGAGGAUGCC